GACGAACGCUGGCGGCGUGCUUAACACAUGCAAGUCGAACGGAAAGGCCCUGCUUUUGUGGGGUGCUCGAGUGGCGAACGGGUGAGUAACACGUGAGUAACCUGCCCUUGACUUUGGGAUAACUUCAGGAAACUGGGGCUAAUACCGGAUAGGAGCUCCUGCUGCAUGGUGGGGGUUGGAAAGUUUCGGCGGUUGGGGAUGGACUCGCGGCUUAUCAGCUUGUUGGUGGGGUAGUGGCUUACCAAGGCUUUUACGGGUAGCCGGCCUGAGAGGGUGACCGGCCACAUUGGGACUGAGAUACGGCCCAGACUACUACGGGAGGCAGCAGUGGGGAAUAUUGCACAAUGGGCGGAAGCCUGAUGCAGCAACGCCGCGUGCGGGAUGACGGCCUUCGGGUUGUAAACCGCUUUCGCCUGUGACGAAGCGUGAGUGACGGUAAUGGGUAAAGAAGCACCGGCUAACUACGUG
Molecule: ribosomal RNA, 468 nt
Filed under: uncultured bacterium
Lineage: Bacteria
Description: partial 16S ribosomal RNA
Rfam family: Bacterial small subunit ribosomal RNA
Source: RNAcentral